GAAGGAGGGGGGGGAGCAGCGAGCAGCAUGGCAGUCUCUGGCAAAGCGUUGACCACAAGAACCAGCAAGGCCAAAGUACAACAAAGCGCUGAAUGGCGGGCGCUGACUUCAGCGUGUCUGCCCCCUCUGAUCCACACAAGGUUGCACUGUGUGUGUUCGGCCUCCGAGAACGAAAGGGGCGGCCACGGCGCACAAUCACCACUAAGCACAUACUUUGCUGCCCCACAAUCCCCCACCAGGCCAGACACAAACCCAGGGGCUGUAUGUUUAUCAAAGCGCCUCAGGAUGCUGCCAUGGAGACAGUGCUCUUAUAUCUGUGGGGCUUCCACCUACUGUAUACCGCCAGAACAACCACACACGCGUUCACACAAACUGCAAAGAAUUCCUCCAUGCUUCACCCAAUCGCUGCAAACCCAAGCAGCGUUUGACCACAAUGAACCAUUUUGUAAGUUAUAAAGCAAUGUAAUUAUGUCCUAGAAACCCUUUUCCCACAGGAUGAGGGACAUAGCUCCUCAAAGCAGUCACAGCUCCCCGUUAAAUAUCAACUGUGGUCUCAAGGUUUUGAUGCCGGGCUCUUAUAUUAGGAAAAACACAUUCUUAUCCAAGUCAUUUGUUUUACUUUGCAAUUGCGUAAUUUGAUUAUGUGCAACUGGUAAGAGUCAAACACACUCUCCAUUUGGGUGAUUUGCCAAACAUCUCCGCUACCGCAGCUACAGGCAUUUUCAACUUAAACUUUAUAAUAAAUAAUAAUUUCCAAAUUAUAUUACAAAAGAAAAAUGCAAAUAAAUGAAUGGGGAAAAAAGGAAAAAUAAAUCUGUUCAACAGCUUGAUGAAAUGCAUCUAUGAUCAAAAUAAAAAGCAGACAGCGAGAGAUAAAUAUGCAAAGGGCAAUGUGCAGGAGCGUAUGUUAUUUUUUUUCUCUCACUGCUCUGCUGUCUUCAGAUCCAUAACACAUGCAGGCUCGGGUUAUCUGAUAAAUAAUACCUCCUGUCAUUAGUCUUCCAUGUUGAACAGCUUUCUGGUUGAUGUCAGGUGUGGCUGCUCUGAUUUUCCUAACUGGACCUCUGACAGACACUUACACAAACAGAAAUGCAACACCUCUGCAUCAGAUUCCUCACGGCGGCUGAAGGAAGGAGUGAGAAAGAGAGGGGGAGGGAAAAAACAGACACAGUGUGGGCUUUAAUACAUACACACUGCGUAUAUACUUUAUACGUAAAAUAGCAUAAGAUUGCGUUGUUCACUGUCUAUUCCGAACACACUGGAGAGUGGCGUAGUGACACACAGUGCGAAACACCCUCCGACUAGUUAAGAAUGAGAGUCAUCUGUCUACUCUAUUUUCAGACUCACUCUGCUGCG
Long non-coding RNA from Gasterosteus aculeatus aculeatus (three-spined stickleback), 1356 nucleotides. The record is from Ensembl. NCBI's taxonomy places the organism in Eukaryota, Metazoa, Chordata, Actinopteri, Perciformes, Gasterosteidae.